AUUGAACGCUGGCGGAAUGCUUUACACAUGCAAGUCGAACGGCAGCACGGGGCAACCUGGUGGCGAGUGGCGAACGGGUGAGUAAUACAUCGGAACGUGCCCAAUCGUGGGGGAUAACGUAGCGAAAGUUACGCUAAUACCGCAUACGAUCUACGGAUGAAAGCGGGGGAUCGCAAGACCUCGCGCGAGUGGAGCGGCCGAUGUCAGAUUAGGUAGUUGGUGGGGUAAAGGCUCACCAAGCCAACGAUCUGUAGCUGGUCUGAGAGGACGACCAGCCACACUGGAACUGAGACACGGUCCAGACUCCUACGGGAGGCAGCAGUGGGGAAUUUGGACAAUGGGCGCAAGCCUGAUCCAGCCAUUCCGCGUGCAGGAUGAAGGCCUUCGGGUUGUAAACUGCUUUGUACGGAACGAAACGGCGAGGCUCUAAUACAGUUUGCUAAUGACGGUACCGUAAGAAUAAGCACCGGCUAACUACGUGCCAGCAGCCGCGGUAAACUAA
Molecule: ribosomal RNA, 502 nt
Filed under: uncultured bacterium
Lineage: Bacteria
Description: bacterial SSU rRNA
Rfam family: Bacterial small subunit ribosomal RNA
Source: RNAcentral